Molecule: long non-coding RNA, 27396 nt
Filed under: Gossypium barbadense (sea-island cotton)
Lineage: Eukaryota; Viridiplantae; Streptophyta; Magnoliopsida; Malvales; Malvaceae
Description: long non-coding RNA (GBAR_LNC013109)
Source: RNAcentral
UAGAUACUAAUGUGGACUUAAUUGCAAAGUUUAGGGGUAAAAAAUUACAUUAACCAUAAUUUUAACAAUAUAAUUUCAAGGGUUAAUGUAAUUUUUAGUUCCAGAACUUGCAACUAAGUUGACUUUGCUAUUUGAACUUUUUUUGUCCACGUUAGUCCUAGAACUUGCAACUUUUACCAAUUUGGUCCUUCAACUUGAAUUUCGUUAAAAGUGUGAUGACAUGACGCUCUGAGAUUGUGCCACAUAAUCACCUAAAAUAUAUAUAAUUGGGAAAAGCUGACAUGGUACAAUAUUAGAGUGUCAAGUCAUCACACCUUAAUGGAAUCAAAGUUCAAUGACUAAAUUAAGAAAAGUCACCGAGUUUUGAGACUAAUAAAAAAAAGUUAAGAGUACCAAGUUCGACCUAGUUGUCAAGUUUAAGUGACAAAAAUUACAUUAACCCUAAUUUUACAACAAUUUGUAUGGCAAACACAUCAUAAAAAAAAAAGACUUCAAAGCACCAAAAAGUUUGAACUUUCAACAUGACAACCCAUAUUUCUAUAAACUAUUUCCCUUUGGACAAGAAAAUGACCUUCAGGCCUAAUCUUGGAGUCAAGGUGGCUUCUAAAGUUAACGGUGAAAAAUACACCAUGAUAAGAGCACUAAAAUGUAAAGCAUCAUAAGAAAAAUAAAAUAAAGUUUGAACUCUGAACAUGACAACCUAUAUUUCUAUAAACUAUUUAACUUUGGACAAGAAAAUGACCUUCAGGCCUAAUCUUGGAGGCAAGGUGGCUUCAACAGUUAACGGUGAAAAAUACACCAUGAUAAGAGCACUAAAAUGUAUUAUGCUGCUAAAGCUUCAUUAAACCUAAAAAGGGACAUCAAGAUUCAACUGACCUGGAUAGCUGAUGUAUAUGCUAGGACUGUUCCACCUGGUUUAUGAAGCGAGACGAGUUGACUAGAUGAAUCUAAAACCACGGUUACAAUCGUGUCCAUAAUAGAUUCUUCCUCGGCAGUAGGAUCUGCCAAAAUGUAGUUCUUGUGAAGUACACAUGUCAAUGAAAACGGAAUGCUGCUCAGAUUAAUUUUUCUCUUCUCCUUAUUGACUGGUUCCCUGUCAGAUAGUCCUUGUUCCUCUGAUAAAACGAUCUUUCCAUCAUCGUUGAGAGAUACCACCGGGACCGGGAUUUCCACUGGAAUUUUUUUUUCGUAAAAUAAAAACAGUUAGAUUAGACACUCCAAAACAAAAUCUAUUAAAUCAAUAGUGUAGCUGCAGAGGGAAUAUCAAGACCAGAUAAUAUAAAGAGGCUUUGCAUGGGACAGCAAGCUAGGCAAAAUUAAAAGGUAAAUAGAUUACAGCCAUAACAUAUGGUUGACCUUGCCUUGUAUCUUAUAUCAUGAAAGUAUAAAUUGCGAUAUUUUGCAACAGGGUUUACCAUUGAAGGAUGCCCUAUAACCAAUAAGCUUGGUCAAGAUUUAUACUACCAAUGAUGCAUACUAAUCACUCAUCUAAUAUGAGAUUUAGUAAUUUUUUGGUUUACCCAAGGAAAAGCUUUAAUCAUGGAUUAGAUGAAACCAGGUUCCUAGAGCAAAUUCUGAUCAUUGUAUUGCCAAGAUAGAGCAGUGAUAAUUUUUGCUGGUACAUGAAAAUGCGUUUCCUAUGUUAAAAUUAAAGGAAGUAAUUCAUGCAAAAACCCCAAGAUCGCCAGACACACUUAAAAGAAGCAUGAAAAUCAGAAUGUCAGCCCUGAAAUAAAAUCAAUUUGCAUGUUAAUGCAUCAAGUGGAUAUAGCUUUUAGUGGUUUAUCAUAAAUUUCUUAAAGAUAACAGAAGGAAAAGGAGCAUUAUGUUCCAAGUGUCUUUUGUCAACCUAUUAUGACUUACUCUUGAUAAAUAAAUGAAAUGCUACUUUUAAUUUAAUUUACACCAGAGGAAUUCCUCAGGCGGUCAUACAUUUUUCUCUUUAAAAGAACAAAGCAAUUUUACCAUCGCAAAUUUUCUUUUCCCUAUCAUUGUCAAUCUUCUUUCUCAUGGAAGAGGUUGGUUGUUUUUGGCAAGUAUUAUCAUAUUUAGUGGCAUGGUGAAUUGAUGUUAUAAUAUUUGAUGAAAAUGAGAGAAACACUUACAAUAAGAAAAGGCAGCAACAACUGAGAGUAAUGCAGUGUCAAAAAGAGCACCAUCAACAUCCAAACAGUAUAUGUCCUGAAAAAACAGAAUACUAUGUUACUUCCAUAUUCAAGGAGAACAAAGGCACUAUGUUAUUACUUGAAUUUCCAUAUCAACUUGCAUGAACACUAGAUGGCUUAUGUUCGAACUCUUACACAACUUGAAAGUCCUAAGACGGAUAAUAAAGACAUUUUAAAACCACAAUCACGUACCAAAUAUGCCAUCCAAGCAACUUUUCCACUAACCAAGGACAGUUCCUUCAAAUUGAUCAUGCCAGAGCUGUAAUUACACAUGACAAGUUGUUUGAGAACCUAACAGAAAGAAAAGGAUUCAAAGUGGAACAGUUUUGAAACAAAACAUUUAUAAGUGUAAAGAGAUUCAAAAGAAACGAAACCACCAACAAAUUUAGAUAAAAUAACUGAGCAGUGUGCUUCAGCAAGCAGUAAGAAGCAAGAGGGAGAACUCAAAGUUUCAAUAUCAAGGCUAAAAUACCCAGUUAACCACAUCAAUAAUCAUAAGUAAAUACAGAGGCGAAGAGGAAGAUAAUGAUUGAAUCCACACAAAGAUGAGAUAACAAAUUGAAGACUUUGCAUUCUAAAGAUUACAGCACAGAUAAACAUCACACGUCACAACUACAAGUAAAUUAACAGGCUUAAUAGGGUGCAUCUCAGCAUCAAUAAACAAUCAAGGAACUAAAUUGGCAUGCCUUAAAAUAGUGUCUGACAAUUGCUUUGCAACGACUGGUGCUGCCUCAUCUGGUCUGCCAGGCCUAACAAUUGGAGAACAAAUUGGAGGCAUGUGGAAAUAAAUCGCUGAAAAUGAAAAAGAAAUUAUGAUAAAGUACGAGAAAUAAGAGAUACGUUUUAAGAAGAGAAAGAGAAACAAGAAAGCAUGCGGCUAACGGCAGCUAACGGCAGCAAACCUAUACAACCCUCAUCCGGUGUUUCCAAUGAAGGGGUCAUGACCUCCAUUUUGAUAGCAGCCAACAUAGUCUAUGCCAUGCAAGGAAUUAAUUAUUAAACUCCAAGCUUAAUUGCUUGCCAAAGCAAAGUAGAAAAUGUAUUAAGAGAAAGUGACAAAACUUACAGUUGAACCAAUUUUUGCAAGUGCUGAACCAUUAGCAGAUGCAACAGCCCCUGGAUAUUAAAGGAAUCAGAUCCAAGUAUGAAGAAAUAUUAUGUCACAUAAAAGCUUCAUAGUUAUAUCUUUUUUCUUUUACUAACCAAGGGCAAUGGUGGUUUCUCUUGCUCUUCCAAGCGGACGAGCAUCAGGACGUAUAGACUCUAAAAGAUGUUUCUCGUAUAAACGAAGGGGAAAGAGGCGUCUGAAAGCAUCUACCUCAACUUCAGUUGACAAGUCACCGCUCGCAUUUGGUAAUCCCAUCGUCAAUCUAUUUUCUUUUGAUCGAAAAAGGGGGGAAAAAACACAUUUAUACCCAUCCAUUAUCAGAAAUUAUAUUUCAUUCAUUUUAAAAUGUUGUUUUCAAGGUAAUAUCAUGGAAGCCUUUACUAGAAGUCAGAUUGCUUUUUGUCUCUUCUACUCAAAAAACGAGCAAAUUAGUCAUUGUACUUUAAAUCAAAGAGCAAAUUGUUCCUUGUGUUAAAAUUUUCAUUCAUUUCUACUAUUAAAAAAUAGUUUCUAUACAUCAAAAUAAGGUACAUGUAACGUGUCAAAUAUAAUUGUUUGGUUAUUCUGUAAACCACUUUAGAUGAACAAUUAUGACAAAAAGACCUAGUUUGCUCUUUGAUUUAAUGUACAGGGGCAAAAGGGUUUCCAUGCCGCUUUUUCCAUUAAAUAUGUGUUUUAGUUGUACAAACAACAUCAUUAUUUUAUAAAUUUUAGCAGAACUUUCUACAUUAACAAUUCUAAUUCAUCAAUAAAUCAGCAUAAUCGGAAAAUUUUCAAUGUUCAGAAUCAAUAUUUGAAACAUAAACUCAUGCAAUGAUAGUGAAAACAAUAAACAAAUUAGAAACGAGAAAUAACCCACCAUACAAAGAAAGUGAAAAAUGAUGAAAACACCCAAUAAAAAGCCAAAGAAAAUAGGACUUUAAAUUGGUGAAGAGGAGCUAAUAAACAAUCUCAAUCAUGGGACAAAAAGGGUCGUUUUCUUUGUGUUUAUUGUCAAACUAAUUCUCAAAAAAAAAAAAAAAACGAUGAAUAAAACACUCUAAAACUUGAAAUGAAACAAUAAAAAAAAAUAUAAAAGUAAUAUAAAAUUAUUAUAUAUGAGAAUAAAAGAAAGCCGUUUCUGGUGUACCUUAGCAAAUCGAUUUAGACCCUCUUUCUAGGCUCGGGCUUGGCCCAAAAUAUGGGCUUGAAAAUUUGUCUAUGUCCGGCCCGGGAAAAAAUUCCUAGGCCCGGCCCCGGCCCGUCCUUUUUUUUAGUAAACACCAAAAUUGUUAUAGCACCUAUGUAAAUAUUGAAUUAAUGGAGUGGAAAUUAGUUCAGUAAGAUAGAUUAGAAUAUGAUUAACUACUUUAACGAAUUUGACAUGAUUUAAAAUUUAAAACUUAAUUCAAGUAAUCCUUUGCGUUUAAAGGAUUGAGAUUAAACAAUUUAAAACUUUAAAAUUCCUAAUAAACCUAAACUUAAAAAUUGAGUUUAAACAAUUUAAAACAAUUGAGUUUAAACAAUUUAAAACUUAAAAAUUCCUAAUAAAUUAGAGUGUGAAAACGCAAACAAAAAAGGAAAAAGAAUUGAAUGGAACAAAAACAUUUAUUAGAUUUCAAAUUUAUAUAUAAACGUAGAAAACAUAAUAUUGUAUAUAUAAACCUAAACUAGAAAACGUCCUUUGCGUUUAAACAAUUGAGAUAGUCAUACUUAUUCUAUAAGCUAAAUUACAUAUGUACCAAAAAAGAAAUUAAUAAAAUUCAAACUGAAUAAAUCCAAUCAAAAUUCAUAAAUAGAAGCAUCUCCAUUUCUCAAUCCCAUUAUUUUCCUACUAGUAGAUAAACAAUUUUAGCAUAACAUUACCAUAAUUUAAUCAAAAUUUAAGUUUUUCUUUCCCCCUAAUAUUUUGGAAGUUCACUUCUUUUCCAGAGGAAUCAACAAUCAUAACAAUAUUUUGAGAUGAGGACACAAAUUAUCAUCUAGAAAAUCUGCUAAUCCUGCAUUUAAUUGCAAAAUGUUGUACAAAGUUAAAUAAAAGAAAAUCAAAUUAAAUUAAAUUAAAUUCUAAAAAGAAAAUGUAAACGAAAGCUUACGGGAAAGGAAGCUAAGGUAAGCCAAAUCGAUUUCAAUGUCGCUUGUUUUUGCAAUAAAACAAAGCAAAAACAAAAAAGAUGAGAUUAAAUGAAUAAACUAAGCUUGUGAUCUCAGCCCUGCAAAUUACAUGCUCUAUAAAACAUAAAUCAAUUCUCAUCCAAUAAUAAUUGAAUAACACAAUUUUACUCUUAAUUGUGCUCAGCUAAGCUGUAUUGAAAUACAAAACUCACCUCAAGGCAAUUUUACGGUAAAUAUAUAUAUACAUAUAUAUAUAUAUAAAAGUUGCUUUCUAAAAAUGAAAAAACAAGUUUCCAGAUGUCAGGAACCAUAUGCUAAAAAAAAUAAUACUUCACUUGUUGAAUAAAACUCUUAAUAAUCAGUCUCUCCCAAGCCAGGAUGUUUCUCAUCAAAGAAGAGAUUUUCAUUUUCAAUGCUGAAAAGAGGCGAAAGAUUCGUCUGGAAAAUGGGUUUGACUAAGCAGGCAAAGAGGAGGAGGGGCCCUUACAGCAUUCAUACAAUGACAAAUGUGCAGAUUACAAGGCUAACACAAGAUUAGUAAAGCAUGGCCAGUACAUCUCUUGUCAAGAAUCUUAGAAGUGAAUCACACUUAACAGGAGUCUCACCCGUGAUACUUGUCGGUAAAUGGGACAAGUCUCGAGGACAUCCGUGAAAGAUGUAAACCAAUGCUAAUUCAAAAGGUUGAACAUACAAUCCAGAUUCCAAAUUCCAAAAUUCCUGAUUUAAUUCUCCCCGGGAAGAUUCAGUGUCUUAAAAUCAAAAUCAGAAAACCACCAUAUUGGUCAGAUUAAUAUAACAGAGAUCAAUCAGUUCAUCAAUCCAAAAAUAAAAAAGCAAAAAGAAAAAAACAUAAAAAAAUAAUUUAACAAAUUAACAUGCGGAAAAGGUGAAGAACUGAAGAUUUACAAAUACAGAGGAGAAAUAAUUCGAGAACUGAAAAUUCAAAGGUAGAAGCACCGUAAAAGAGAGGAAAAAAAAUCUAACUAAAUGUCUAGGGUUAACACUGUUAACAGCAGCAAACUCCCUUUUAAAAGUUAACAUACCUUUGAAAUUCAAAGGUAGAAGACGUAGAAGCACUGCUCUAACCUCUGAUUCUGGAAUUGGGUAGAGCCGUGGAGGAUCGGAGUUGGAUCGGUGGAGGUGGAUUGGUGGAGGUGAAGGGUGAUUUUAAAAUUGGGAAAAAAAGGGAGGAUGGCACGGGCUUAGGAUUUUGAUCAGUGGAAGAGGAGAAAUGGGGAAAUUGCAGUGAUACGAGUCACAAAGGCCCAACUCAAGCUCAAGAACGUGAUGGGCUCAAAUUACCACAAUGUCCAAUAACGAGGUCAAAGGCUAGGAAAAUGCGUACGAAACUAAAUGGAUCCGUUCAAGACUUCAUUAGCAAGGCCUUAGAUGUUUAUACAGAGGAAAAAGAAAAUCAAGAUUCACUUUCUUGUUUUCAAGAAAAUCAAGAAACCAAAUCUUGGUCCAAUUUUGCUGUUUUGAGCGAUUGCAAGAAUCAAGAAAAUCAAGAUUUCAAAUCUUGAAAAUCUUGGUCCAAGAAACUGAAUCUUGCAGCUAAGACGCUUUGGAUCUCAGUUAUGAGCAUCAACGAAUCAAUUUCGGGAGAGAACAGAUUACAAGCCCAAGUUCUUGAAGAUACGACCCACUAAGAUAUUCCAAGCGCAACCAAGAAGUUUAAAUUAGACUUAGUUGAAAAUCAGACCAAAUUGUCAAAGUGGCCCAAUUUAAUUCUUUAAAUAUUUAGUUUUAAUUUUUAGACUUUAUGAAUAAAUUUCUAUGUAAAAAUUCAGUCCAAGAGGCUCAUUUAAAGGCCUUGGACGAAAUUCCCCUUUGAAAGUCAAAAUUAGGGUUUUUUUUAGUUUUCCUAGUAGGGCUAGGAAAGUACUUAGGAGGUCUAUAUAUAUGGCUUGGCCGGCCACCCUUAAUCACAUUACAUUGAAUUUUAGAUUUUUGUUGAGUGAAAAUUCUCUUUGAGUUUCUCCAAGAAUUUUCUCUUGGGUUUUCUUUAAAAGUAGUUUUAACAAUCUUUUUGAUUGUGGGAGCCAUCUUCAACCUUCUUAGGAGUUGUGAAAUCUUUCUUGAUUUCAAGGCUUCUUAGGACUUUUCUUUAUUUUUCUUGCUGUUUGUUCUUCUUUAAUUAUUCUUGUUUCUGCCGAAUUGUUGAUUACUUGAUUUAAUUGCUUUUGUUGCGUUUCAGCCACUCCAAGCUUCAAGAUCCUGUUUGGCAACAUUCUUUGGCAUCAAGAAACGUCCUUUAUUCAUAAAUUUCAAUCUUUCUUGCCGCCCAAGUUUCCUACUUCCACUUCAAUUUGGUUUUCUUGGUCUUUUGAAUAUAAUUUUCUGUUUUUUUUUUGUUUCACCCCAAGUGUCUAUAGCUUUGGUAAGACUUUCCCGUGACUUGACAAGCUCGAUUUGGUCCUCGCGCAAUCCUCUAUCAUGCAGUGUAUUUUAAAAAUAAAAAAUAUAUAUUUAUUAUAUAUUUAUUAUAAAGAAUUACAGCGCAGAUAAAUAUCACACAUCACAACCACAAGUAAAUUAACAGGCUUAAUAGGGUGCAUCUCACCAUCAAUAACGAAUUAAAGAACAAAAUUAAAAUCGUGUCUGAUAAUUGCUUUGCAGCGACUGGUGCUGCCUCAGCCGGUCUGCCACGCCUAACAAUUGGAAGCAUGUGGAAAUCAAUCGCUGAAAAUGAAAAAGAAAUUACGAUAAAAUAUGAGAGAUAAGAGAUACGUUUUAAGAAGAGAAAGAGAAACAGGAAAGCAUGUAGCUAAUGUCAGCAAACCUAUACUAUACAACCCUCAUUCGGAGUUUCCAAUGAAGGGGUCAUGACCUAAAGAAGCCAACAUGGUCUAUGCCAUGCAAGGAAUUAACUAUUAAACUCCAAGCUUAAUUGUUUGCCAAAGCAAAGCAGUAUAUGUAUUAAGAGAAAGUGAUAAACUUACAGUUGAACCUACUUUUGAAAGUGUUGAACCAUUAGCAGAUGCAACAACCCCUGGAUAUUAAAAGAAUCAGAUCCAAGUACAAAGAAAUAUUAUGUCACAUGAAAGUUUCAUAGUUAUUUCCCUUUUCUUUUACUAACCAAGGGCAAUGGUGGCUUCUCUUGCUCUUCCAAGCGGAGGAGCAUCAGGACGUAUAGACUCUAAAAGAUGUUUCUCGUAGAAGUGAAGGGGAAAGAGGCGUCUGAAAGCAUCUACCUCAACUUCAGUUGACAAGUCACCGCUUGCAUUUGGUAAUCCCAUCGUCAACCUAUUUUCUUGUGAUCGAAAAAUGGGAAAAAAACACAUUUAUACCCAUCCAUUUUCAAAAAUUAUAUUUCAUUCAUUUUAAAAUGUUGUUUUCAAGGUAAUAGUACCAUGGAAGCCCUUGUACUAGAAGUUUGAUUGCUUUUUGCCUUUUCUACUAAAAAAAUAAGCAAAUUAGUCAUUGUAAUUUAAAUCAAAUAGCAAAUUGGUCCUUGUGUUAAAAUUUUCAUUCAUUUCUACUAUUAAAAAAUAGUCCCUAUACGUCAGAAAAAGGUACAUGUCACGCGUCAAAUAUAAUUGUCUGGUUAUUCCGUCAGCCACUUUAGAUGAAAAUUUUUUAUUGAAAGGCCUAGUUUACUCUUUGAUUUAAUGUACAGGGGCAAAAGGGUUUCCAUGCCGUUUUUUCCAUUAAAUAUGUGUUUUAGUUGUACAAGCAGCAUCAAUAUUUUAUAAUUUUAGCAGAACUUUCUACAUAAACAAUUCUAAUUCAUCAAUAAAUUAGCAUAAUCGAAAAACUACUAAUGCUCAGUAUUAAUAUUUGAAACAUAAACUCAUGCAACGUGUCGAAACCAUUUUUAUUUUUUGGAAAAAAAACAAAUUAGUUGUCGAUAAAAAUUUAGAGUCGCCACCAAUCUUUUAUUGAGGUGUGAUUGGAUCACCUAAAAUGACUUUGGUCUACGAGUUUUAGAAAAACAGGUUCGGGAGUCAGUUACGUACAAGGAAGGAUUAGCACCUUCGUAACGCCCAAAAUUUGGUACCAAGUUGAUUAAUUAGUGUCUUAAUGUCGAGAGUUAAUAAAUACGAUCCUUAGUUAAAUUAAAUUAUUUAUUAGGACUUUCUCAUUUUGUAAAAAGAAAAUAUCACACCCAAUACGUUAGGGCACAAUAUUUUAUUCUUUUCAAGAUGAGUUGGUCAAAAAAACUCGUGUAAUAAAAUUUAAGAAAAUAUUUAAUUGCUUAAAAUUUAGGAAGAAAUCACAGCCCAAUACGUUAGGGCACGAUUUCUUAAAAUCCCAAACAUUAAAUAUUUCCUUUAUUUUUUUUAAAAUAUUUAUCUCGAGAAAUUAACGCGUCACAUCCAAUACGUUAGGACACAACAUAUUGAAUUCCCGAUGACAAGUUUUAUUUUGUUUGAUUAAAGAGCAAUCCUCAAUUGUUAGAUUUUACAAAGAAAAUUGGAACCGAAUACGUUAGGGCUCAAUUUUCUUGAAAAUCCUAAAUACGAGUAUUAUCUUUAUUUUGAAAAUUUUCUAUUUUUAAAAUUUGAGUAAAAGAUGAUGUAAUGUUAUAUUGAAUGCAUGAAUAAAUGCAUCUUUAACAAAUAUCAAUAAUAAAUACAACAAUUGUAUAGAAAUAAUAUAAAUAAAUAAAUCAAUAAAAAUAAAUCAAUAACAUUCAAAGCAUCAAAUAAACAAGCAAUAAAAAUAAUAUAAAUGAAAACAUAAAUUAAUAAACAAAUGAAAGAAAUAAACAAAAAAUAUAAAGAAUAAAAGGUACAUAAUAUAUACAUUGAACUUAUGAAGAAUAAGAAGAUGUGCACAAGGAUUUACACACAAAAUCUAGAAUUAUAAAAUUUAUAUAACUAAAUAUAAUGUAUUUAUGAAAAUAAAAAAAUACAUAAGUAUAUAUAUAUAAAAUAAAAUAUGUAUUUGAAAAUAUAAAUAUGUAUUUAAGUAUUUUCAAAAAUAUAAAAAAUAUGUACGUAUGUAUGUAUAAAUAUAAUAGAAUAUUCAAAAAAAAUAAAUAUGUAUACAUGUAAAAUACAUUAAAGAUAAUUAAAUAAUAUCUACAUUAUCAAAAUUAAUUAAAUAAAAAAAUAAAUAUAUGUGUAUAUAUAAAUAUGAGAAAAAUAUUAGUUGAAAAAAAAUAAAUAUGUACAUAUAAGAAAAAUAUAUUUGUGUGUGAAUUAUAAAAAAUAAAAAAAUAAAAAUAAAUAUACCUAUUUUAAUAUGUAAUAUAUAUAUAAGUAUGUAUAUAAAGUUAUGAAACAUAGAAAAUAUAUAAAAGUAUGUGUAUAUAUAUAUUAAAAAAAUAUAAGGCAAAAUAAAAUGUAAACAAAUUUGAAAAUAAUGAAUUUGAAAAUGAAUAAUAAGGGAAAAAUUUGAAAUCAACAAUACAAAUCAAUAAAUAAAUUAUACACAAAUCAACAAAAUAAGAACAAACCACAGAAAAUAAGAACGCAAAAGAGAAAAUUUUGAGUGAAUACUUUAAGAAUUAUUAUUACUCCUCACUUCCGUCCCUUACAAUGAAGGGAGAGACCUCUAUUUAUAGUUGAGCCUCCCUAAAUCCAACGGUACAGAUCAAUUACAUCAACGGCUAAGAUUAAAGGGUAUCUACAAAUUAAAUCUCUAAGAUUAAAAAAAUCAUAUAUUCUAAGAUUGCAUAUCAUAUCUAAUAUUGCAUAUAUCAUAUCUAAGAUUGCAUAUCCUUAAAGAUUAUGUUUCCAUAAACUUGUAGAUGGACCUUCAACUUUUUCAAGUAAUGGGCCAUUCCGAUCGGGUUAAAUGAUAUUACUGGACUUAAAAUUUGUUUUAUUAUUUUGGGUUUAUUAUUUUUUUCGUGAGCUCGAGCUAAAAUUGGGUAUUACACAACGAUAAUAAAAAAAAUAAACAAAUCAGAAACGAGAAAUAACCCACCAUACAAAGAAAGGGAAAAAUGAUGAAAACACCCAAUAAGAAGCCAAAGAAAAAUGGGACUUAAAAUUGGUGAACAGGAGCAAAUAAACAAUCUCAAUCAAGGGACAAAAAAGGGUCGUUUUCUUUGUGUUUAUUGUCAAACUGAUUCUAAAAAAAAAAACGAUGAAUAAAACACUCUAAAACUUGAAAUGAAACAAGGAAAAAAUAUAAAAUUAUUAUAUAUGAGAAUAAAAGAAACCUGUUUCCGGUGUAUCUUAGAAAAUCGAUGGAAGGCAACGACGGCGAAACAAUUAACAGAGAAGAAUGGAAGUGACGAAAAGAAAAUAGCAAGGGCUCGGCAUUCACUAAGAAGCAUUUUUCAUUCUCAAUUUCAUUUUCUUUAAAAAGUGUAAUGGGGGCAAAUCCGGUCAUCUCAAGCAAACUAAAUGGGUUAAUGUCUUUGUUAGCUCCCAAAUUUUCACCUACAGUGUAAUUUAGUACCUGUAAAAAAAUAUAAUUUAAUCAUCAGUAUCAUACCCUGCUGGUCUUCUACCUGUACCAAGACGUUUAAGUUUCGUUCCGGUCAAUAUUUUAAUAUGUUUGUUUUGCAUGUUUCAAUGUGCUUUGGCUCAUUCUAGCCGAUACCGACCCAUAUCAGUUGACACAAAAUUUUGAUACUUUAAAUUUAUCUUUUAAUUUUUUAUCUUAAACAUUUUAACUUUUUAUAAUUACGUUUAAAAUUAAAAUAAACUGAAACUAUUGAACCAAUUAAUAGAUUUAAAACUUAUUUUUACAUAUAAAUAGAUGUAAUUGAGAUAUAUUUGUUUGUAUAUAUAACAUAUAAUACUCGAAGCCUUGGCGCUGUGCACUCAUAACAAAAAGUAAUUAAGAAAUUCUUCGGUGCAUUUAGAAUAUAAAAUCCUUCAAAAAUAAGAAAAACAAUUAAAUAAUAUAGCAUAAAGAAUCCAACAAAAACAAUAAACAAGGAACAUCACAUGAUUCUUGGGUCACGGCAAUAAUAUUUUUGUUUUUUUUAUAUUACUUUAACAAAUAUAAAACUAAAAAUACAACAUCAACCAAAUUAUAUAUAUAUUUUUUCAUUCAGGCUAAAUGUAAUUGAAGGCCUUUUAUUAUAAUUUCGUUUAUAGGCGAUUAUCAUCAGUUCUUCAUGGCGCAUCUCUCUGUGCAAGUAUUGACGCAAGCUGCAACUUCCCUUGCAGCUGACAAAAACAAGACAAAUCGUUAAGUUAAUAUACAUACUUACAUACCAUCAAAUAAAUAUAUAAAACGAAAAAAGAAAAAUUACCAGGCAACCUCCCUUGGCUGCUUAGCAUCGAACAUGUCAGGGCAGCACACCCAACAAUGCAGAAUACGGAACUGCUCGUGAGGUGGGUUUCCUCCAGAGUCUCCACAAGCGCUUCUGACGGCAGGCAACGUUGAAUACAAUCCCCAAGGGAAGUUCCGUUGGGGACGCAAGUAGUUACACAAAAUGCAUACCCAAAUUCAAUCGGGGCGAGUGCUGUAACAGCUUGAAGGGAGAGACUAACAAGGAUCAACAACAGCAAACAGAAAAUCAACGCUCAUUAUUUCCCCCCAUUAUGUAUAUAUUUAAUUUGAUUUCAUGAUGAUUAUUUUGCACUGCUUUAUAUAGGUCUUAUAUAGAUUUUGAUUGUCAUGCCAAACAGCCAAACUGCCAAACUACCAAACUGCCUUAUUGAAUGUAAAAUUAAGACGUCAAACCAUAAUGCCAAAAUUUGAUUGAAUGCAAAAUUAAGAGAAAAUUUCUAUACCUAAUCAAAGUAAUAUGAAAUGGAUUUGUCAAGCCAAACUACAUGGAAAAUGCUUGAAUGUCUUGUCUUUUUUUUAGAAUUCUUCCUAACAAUCUAAAUUCUUCCUAACCAUUCAAAAUAUUCUGAUUGUCAAUCUUCUUUCUCAGAUGUCAUGAAUCACAAAUGAACACUAAACCUUUAACUUCAUAUUUUAAACAUUAACAUCGAAGUAAACACUUAAUCCGUGCAAAUAAAAUCUUGAUUCUCACCUUCACAGUGACUGUAUCCAUCUCCUUUGAAUUGCUCGCCAUCAACCAAGAGACAUUCACAAACUCUUCCUCGAAAUGUAUCUUAAGAAGCAAAUCAAUAUAUUCAAAUAAGCUCAUGGAGUAGAGAAUCCCUAUCAAAUCUGUUUCGAUUCAUACCCUGCAGGCUGUGAGAUUUGCUGCUUUUUCUUGCCAACAACCACCAUCAUUUUCCAAGCAUUCAUUCGUCUCCACAUCUGUGAAAAAAGUAACCGUCAUCACUGGUGUUUCAAAUAACAACUGGACAGUAAGUUGAAACACUACACUGGAUUUCUAAAAGCCUAGCUCUCGCCUAUGUUACUUAGUGUGAGAGUUGGAUAAGGCAUAUGUCUGACAUGGAUACGUGCAAGUUGUUCUUCAUUUUUCCUGUAUUCAGAGUGUUUUUGGAGGGUCACAUCCCCAUACUCGUAGAUGAAAACGUGUCAGACACGGGUUCUUAGAAAACUGGUACUUCAAGCAAAACUGAGACUCAGAGAAACUUAGCUCUAAACCACUUUAUCCAUACUGGAGAAAACUAUACGCCAUUACUACGAAAUUCUUAGAUAACCAGCAUUUUGAAAUUCAUUUUUAUUAUCAUACAUCUGCCUUGAGAACCAACCCAACCCAAAGCAUAUAUGUUCACUUGGACUCUGGGUGUGAGUUUCAAAUACAGGUAUGUGUUUGACACGGAUAUAUUCAAAUUUUUGUUCAUGUACCUAGAAGGAUCUUUGAAAAAUCAGAUCACCGUACACAUGUUCGGAUAUUGAGUCUAAAACUGGUACUUAAAGCAAAACCAAGAAUCUGAGAAACUUAGCUCUACUUUUGUAGACACCUCUAAGGCUACAUCCCUAUGAAAGGAGGGAAAUGAAGCUAAAUGAAUGGACCUAAUUUCAGAAAACAACUAGUAAGAUAAAAAGAGAGAAAGACAUCCGUCCAAACAACUUAAAGCAAAGCUGAAAACAAGUAAAUUAAUUCAUAAAUGAACGGAUAAAUAUAUAAAUAAUGAUAAUGAAAUCAAUGGAAACUGAUAAACCUAAAUUUAUUUAAAUGAAUUAGUUAAAAUAUAAUAACAUAAAUCCAAGUAGAUGGAAAAACCAAAUCUAUUAACCCUCAAAUCCCAAACUAUCAAAUAGAUUAUUGCCCCAUAAAUAAACCAAAUCCAACAAAUUGAACUUUAAACCUACUAUUUAAAUUCCCCAAUUUGGAAUUACUCAAAUUAGCUAAAACAACACAAAAAUUCCUCAUUGAUCAACCCUACAACAAACAAAUUAUAGCUCAAAUAAACAAAACCAUAGAUUAAUUUUUCUUAGAAGGCGAAAAUUUUGAAAAAAAGAAGAAGAAAAGUGUACCUCCACGAUCGACCAGAACAUAGGUAGGAAGAGAACCAGGCUUGGAUAUAACCGAAAUCCCAAAGUCAUCAAAACCUUUACAAGCUUUUCGGUUUUCUUCAGGGUAAACCACAACACCAGCCAUGCUUCCACCACAUUGAGGUAUCCCAAAGUUCCCAAUCGCACUAUCAUGGGUUGCUUUAAUCUUCUCCGGCGAUGUUACCGCCAAGCUCUUCUUUUCCACCACGAAUCUCGCGUAACAAUUGCGUAUCAAAGAUAAUAAAAUAAACACUUGAGGAAGAUGAUGAUGAUGGAAUGUUCGUAGCUCCAUAUCUUUACUUUUGGUUUUGGAUUUGGAUUGGAUCAGUUUUAAGGACGAUACUGAUGAAGAAGAUGAAGAUCGUGUAUGAAAAACAUGUAAAAUGAAAUGGUUUUUUUGAAAAAAAUAAAAACAGUGAAAAUCGCCAUUAAAUAAUUCUAUGAUUCUUUUAUUUGUUUUAAAUGAAUUUAGAACACAGUUAGUGAAAUUUUGACACGCUACUAAUAAAUAAUCUUAGUCAUUUAUAGAUUAAACAUUUUUCUUUUUUUUAAACAGUGCAAUGAGACCAAAUCCAGUCAUCUGAAGUAAACUUAAUGGGUUUAUGUUUUUCUUAGCCCCUAAAUUUUCACCUACCGUUUAAUUUAGUACAUGUUAAAAAAAAUCCAAUUUAGUCAUUUGUAUUAUACGUGACGGUCUUCUACAUAUACGAAGUCGUUUAAGUUUCGUUCCGGUGAAGAUUUCAAUAUGCUUAGCAUGUUCCAAAGUCCUUUGGCCCAUUCUAGCCAGUAUCGGCCCGUAUCAAUUGGUACAAAAUUUUGAUAUUUAAACUUAUCUUUUAAUUUUUUAUCUUAAACAUUUUAACUUUUUAUAACUACGUUUAAAAUUAAAAUAAACUGAAGCUAUUGAACCAAUUAAUAGAUUUAAAACUUAUUUUUACAUAUAGAUAGAUGUAAUUGAAAUAUAUCAAGAAAUUUUUCGAUGCAUUUAGCACAUAAAAUCCUCCAAAAAAUAAGGAAAACAGUUAAAUAAUAUAACAUGAAGGAUUCAACAAAAACAACCAACAAGGAACAUCACAUUAUUCUUGGAUAACGGCAAUAAUUGUAUCAUUACUGAUUAUCAUCAGUUCUUCAUGGCGCAUCUCUCUAUGCAGGUAUUGACGCAGCCGACAACUUCCUUUGAAGCUGACAAAAACAAAACAAAUCAUUAAGUUAAUAUACGUACUUACUUACCAUCAAAUAUUAAUAUAAAACGGAAAAAGAAAAAUUACCAGGCAUCCUCCCUUGGCUGCUUAGCAUUGAACAUGUCAUGGCAGCACACCCAACAGUGCAGAAUACGGAGCUGCUCGCGAGGUGGGUUUCCUCCAAUGUCUCCACCAGUGCUUCUGACGGCAGGCAGCGUUGAAUACAUUCCCCAAGGGAAGUUCCGUUGGCGACGCAAGUCGUUACGCAAAAAGUAUACCCAAGUCCAAUCGGGACAAGUGCUGUAACAGCUUGACGCGAGGGACUAACAAGGAUCAACAACAGCAAACAGAACAUCAACGCCAAUGAUUUCCCCCCCAUUAUGUAUAUAUUUGAUUUGAUUUGAUAAUGAUUUUUUUGCACUGCUUGAUAUCGGUGUUAUAUACACUUUGAUUGUCAUGCCAAACUACCAAACUGCCUAAUUAAGAUGCCAAACUAUAAUGCCAAAAUUUGAUUGAAUGCAAAAUUAAAAGAACAUUUCUAUAAGUAAUCAAAAUAAUUUGAAAUGAAUUUGUCAUGCCAAACUACAUGGAAAAUGUCUAAUGUCUUGUCCUUUUUUUAGAAUUCUUCCUAAUAAUCUAAAUUCUUCCUAACCAUCCCAAAUAUUCUGAUUGUCAAUGUUCUUUCUCAGAUGUCAUGAAUCACAAAUGAACACUAAACCUUUAACUUCAUAUUUUAAACAUUAACAUCGAAGUAAACACUUAAACCGUGCAAAUAAAAUCUUGAUUCUCACCUUCACAGUGACUGUAUCCAUCUCCUUUGAUUUGCUCGCUAUCAACCAAGAGACAUUCACAAACUCUUCCUCGAAAUGUAUCUUAAGAAGAAAAUCAAUAUAUUCAAAUAAGCUCAUGGAGUAGAGAAUCCCUAUCAAAUCUGUUUCGAUUCAUACCCUGCAGGCUGUGAGAUUUGCUGCUUUUUCUUGCCAACAACCACCAUCAUUUUCCAAGCAUUCAUUCGUCUCCACAUCUGUGAAAAAAGUAACCGCCAUCACUGGUGUUUCAAAUAACAACUGGACAGUAAGUUGAAACACUACACUGGAUUUCUAAAAGCCUAGCUCUCGCCUAUGUUACUUAGUGUGAGAGUUGGAUAAGACAUAUGUCUGACAUGGACAUGUGCAAGUUGUUCUUCAUUUUCCCUGUAUUCAGAGUGUUUUUGGAGGGUCACAUCCCCAUACUCGUCUAUGAAAACGUGUCAGACACGGGUUCUCAAGAGAGGUAAAGAGUCAGCACCCCUAAGUGGAACCAGACUAAAAUACUUCUCUUGCAAGAAAAAUAAAACAAGACAAACUCACCACCACUCGAACAAACAGCUGGUUCAGUAGUCUCCUCGAAGCCGGCACAUAUGGCCUUCAAAACAGCACCUUUGGCCAGCUUUCCUGCAUGCAGAUAUGUUAAACGCGGAAAGCACCCAAAAUUUUAUCUGGGAAAUACGGGUAUAAAUACGAACCUCGAUAUUGGCGAUUGUUGACAACAAGUCUAGGCAAUAUGGUAACAUCUCCUCUAGAUCCUUUCCCCGCCUAUGAAAAUGUUUCUAUUAAAUAGCCUCAAAAAGGUCAAAGAAGACAACGAAUUGGAAAAAGAGUAGUGAAACAUAAAAUAUCUUAGCCUGAGAGGACUACUUGAGCAUCUUGUUCUUCUUCCAGAACAGGAUUCUCCAUAUCAGCAUCUGGAUCUCCCAAACACUUUUCGAUCUUUUUAGCGUCAAGCCCUGAAUGGAUGACAAAGGAAUAUCAUCAAUUUAUUACUAGUUUCCAGCAAGAUUUUGAGUUUUCACUGUGCUAUUAAUACUAACAGAAAUUUGAAGAUAAACCGAGGAUCUUCCAAUUAACUGUUUACCAAGAGAUUUGAUAACACCGUCUGCACAUUCCUUAUUAUAUCUUUUCUACUUCAUUGGCCAUCUUAUUUCAAAAUCAGUCACAUAGUCCCACCACACCCAAGGCCUAUUGGUCUCAUUUGCCACUUUGAAAACGCAAAGCUGCCUUAAGGUCUCAAUAACUACAUCUUUCCCUUCAUAACCUGAGCUAAAACCUUGUUCAGGAUCCGGUGCACAGUAUCUUCCGCGGUUGAUGCAUUGAGAUAUGCACUGCCGGCUUAGGGUGAAAGCUUGAGGGCAGUACCAAGUUAUAUAAUGGGGUGUGAACUGCGUAUAGCCACCUUUUUCGAGAAUCUUAGCAGCACCCUUGAAAUCCUUCACAAAUGCCAUCAGCAUAUCGCAUUUAACUCCACAUUCAUCAUUGCUCUUGGUCCAUAACUCGUACUCGUCACGAUCAUCAGGGUUAGAGUUUCACCAGAAGUUUUCUCGAUAAGGGCAGAUGAACUGUCCUCUUCGCGAUUGUCCCUGGUUAUUAAUGCUUCUUCUAUGUCAUCCGCAACAAGCACUGCAGAAGCACUGCUUGCCAUACAUUCCAAAUCUUUAAAGCAAAGAAGCAAUCUGGAGAAAUAAUAAGAAAAAAGGCGCUAAAUGCAGUCUCCGCAAAUAUAUAUAUAUAUCAAAAACUAAAGAAAAAUUACAUCUAAGACCAUAACUCAAUCAAGGACAAUAAGCAAAUUUUACAACCUUGGCAGCAACUGGAGUCCGUAUAUAGGCAACACUUCAGAUUUUUCUCAUCUCUUUAACAGUGUAAUCACAUUAUAGUAAUGUAACUGAAUUAUCUAAUCCGGAAGUAACUAUAAGCCAUUACUACCUAAUGCUUAGAUCAACCAGCAUUCUGAACCUCAUUUUUAUCACCAUACAUCUGUUUGAGAACCAACCAAACUCAAAUCGUACACUCUAAAUCUAUGUUCACUCGGACUCGGGUAUGAGUUUCAAAUGUAGGCACAUGUUUGAGACGGAUAUGUUAGUUUUGGUUUUUCAUGUAUCUGGAGGAUCUUUGAAAAGUCAUGUGUCGCCCAUAUGCAUGUUCGGAUAUUGAGUCUAGAACGGGUACUUCAGACGGAUAUCCAGAGGAUCAUUAACAGCAUAAUCGCGUUGCAGUAAUGUAACUGAAUUAUCUAAUCCGGAGGUAACUAUAAGCCAUUACUACGAAAUGCUUAGAUCACCAUUAUUUUGAAACUCGUUUUUAUUAUCAUCCAUCUGUUUAAGAACCAACCAAACUCAAAUCAUACACUCUAAAUCUCUGUUUACUCCGACUUGGGUAUGAGUUUCAAAUAAAGGUAUGUGUUUGACACUGAUAUAUUCAAUUUUUCUUCAUGUACCUAGGGGAUCUUUGAGAAGACAUAUCACCGCACACAUGUUCAGAUAUUGAGUCCAAAACCGGUACUUCAAGCAAAACUGAGACUCAGAGAAACUUAGCUCUAAACCACUUUAUCCAUACUGGAGAAAACUAUACGCCAUUACUACGAAAUUCUUAGAUAACCAGCAUUUUGAAAUUCAUUUUUAUUAUCAUACAUCUGCCUUGAGAACCAACCCAACCCAAAGCAUAUAUGUUCACUUGGACUCUGGGUGUGAGUUUCAAAUACAGGUAUGUGUUUGACACGGAUAUAUUCAAAUUUUUGUUCAUGUACCUAGAAGGAUCUUUGAAAAAUCAGAUCACCGUACACAUGUUCGGAUAUUGAGUCUAAAACUGGUACUUAAAGCAAAACCAAGAAUCUGAGAAACUUAGCUCUACUUUUGUAGACACCUCUAAGGCUACAUCCCUAUGAAAGGAGGGAAAUGAAGCUAAAUGAAUGGACCUAAUUUCAGAAAACAACUAGUAAGAUAAAAAGAGAGAAAGACAUCCGUCCAAACAACUUAAAGCAAAGCUGAAAACAAGUAAAUUAAUUCAUAAAUGAACGGAUAAAUAUAUAAAUAAUGAUAAUGAAAUCAAUGGAAACUGAUAAACCUAAAUUUAUUUAAAUGAAUUAGUUAAAAUAUAAUAACAUAAAUCCAAGUAGAUGGAAAAACCAAAUCUAUUAACCCUCAAAUCCCAAACUAUCAAAUAGAUUAUUGCCCCAUAAAUAAACCAAAUCCAACAAAUUGAACUUUAAACCUACUAUUUAAAUUCCCCAAUUUGGAAUUACUCAAAUUAGCUAAAACAACACAAAAAUUCCUCAUUGAUCAACCCUACAACAAACAAAUUAUAGCUCAAAUAAACAAAACCAUAGAUUAAUUUUUCUUAGAAGGCGAAAAUUUUGAAAAAAAGAAGAAGAAAAGUGUACCUCCACGAUCGACCAGAACAUAGGUAGGAAGAGAACCAGGCUUGGAUAUAACCGAAAUCCCAAAGUCAUCAAAACCUUUACAAGCUUUUCGGUUUUCUUCAGGGUAAACCACAACACCAGCCAUGCUUCCACCACAUUGAGGUAUCCCAAAGUUCCCAAUCGCACUAUCAUGGGUUGCUUUAAUCUUCUCCGGCGAUGUUACCGCCAAGCUCUUCUUUUCCACCACGAAUCUCGCGUAACAAUUGCGUAUCAAAGAUAAUAAAAUAAACACUUGAGGAAGAUGAUGAUGAUGGAAUGUUCGUAGCUCCAUAUCUUUACUUUUGGUUUUGGAUUUGGAUUGGAUCAGUUUUAAGGACGAUACUGAUGAAGAAGAUGAAGAUCGUGUAUGAAAAACAUGUAAAAUGAAAUGGUUUUUUUGAAAAAAAUAAAAACAGUGAAAAUCGCCAUUAAAUAAUUCUAUGAUUCUUUUAUUUGUUUUAAAUGAAUUUAGAACACAGUUAGUGAAAUUUUGACACGCUACUAAUAAAUAAUCUUAGUCAUUUAUAGAUUAAACAUUUUUCUUUUUUUUAAACAGUGCAAUGAGACCAAAUCCAGUCAUCUGAAGUAAACUUAAUGGGUUUAUGUUUUUCUUAGCCCCUAAAUUUUCACCUACCGUUUAAUUUAGUACAUGUUAAAAAAAAUCCAAUUUAGUCAUUUGUAUUAUACGUGACGGUCUUCUACAUAUACGAAGUCGUUUAAGUUUCGUUCCGGUGAAGAUUUCAAUAUGCUUAGCAUGUUCCAAAGUCCUUUGGCCCAUUCUAGCCAGUAUCGGCCCGUAUCAAUUGGUACAAAAUUUUGAUAUUUAAACUUAUCUUUUAAUUUUUUAUCUUAAACAUUUUAACUUUUUAUAACUACGUUUAAAAUUAAAAUAAACUGAAGCUAUUGAACCAAUUAAUAGAUUUAAAACUUAUUUUUACAUAUAGAUAGAUGUAAUUGAAAUAUAUCAAGAAAUUUUUCGAUGCAUUUAGCACAUAAAAUCCUCCAAAAAAUAAGGAAAACAGUUAAAUAAUAUAACAUGAAGGAUUCAACAAAAACAACCAACAAGGAACAUCACAUUAUUCUUGGAUAACGGCAAUAAUUGUAUCAUUACUGAUUAUCAUCAGUUCUUCAUGGCGCAUCUCUCUAUGCAGGUAUUGACGCAGCCGACAACUUCCUUUGAAGCUGACAAAAACAAAACAAAUCAUUAAGUUAAUAUACGUACUUACUUACCAUCAAAUAUUAAUAUAAAACGGAAAAAGAAAAAUUACCAGGCAUCCUCCCUUGGCUGCUUAGCAUUGAACAUGUCAUGGCAGCACACCCAACAGUGCAGAAUACGGAGCUGCUCGCGAGGUGGGUUUCCUCCAAUGUCUCCACCAGUGCUUCUGACGGCAGGCAGCGUUGAAUACAUUCCCCAAGGGAAGUUCCGUUGGCGACGCAAGUCGUUACGCAAAAAGUAUACCCAAGUCCAAUCGGGACAAGUGCUGUAACAGCUUGACGCGAGGGACUAACAAGGAUCAACAACAGCAAACAGAACAUCAACGCCAAUGAUUUCCCCCCCAUUAUGUAUAUAUUUGAUUUGAUUUGAUAAUGAUUUUUUUGCACUGCUUGAUAUCGGUGUUAUAUACACUUUGAUUGUCAUGCCAAACUACCAAACUGCCUAAUUAAGAUGCCAAACUAUAAUGCCAAAAUUUGAUUGAAUGCAAAAUUAAAAGAACAUUUCUAUAAGUAAUCAAAAUAAUUUGAAAUGAAUUUGUCAUGCCAAACUACAUGGAAAAUGUCUAAUGUCUUGUCCUUUUUUUAGAAUUCUUCCUAAUAAUCUAAAUUCUUCCUAACCAUCCCAAAUAUUCUGAUUGUCAAUGUUCUUUCUCAGAUGUCAUGAAUCACAAAUGAACACUAAACCUUUAACUUCAUAUUUUAAACAUUAACAUCGAAGUAAACACUUAAACCGUGCAAAUAAAAUCUUGAUUCUCACCUUCACAGUGACUGUAUCCAUCUCCUUUGAUUUGCUCGCUAUCAACCAAGAGACAUUCACAAACUCUUCCUCGAAAUGUAUCUUAAGAAGAAAAUCAAUAUAUUCAAAUAAGCUCAUGGAGUAGAGAAUCCCUAUCAAAUCUGUUUCGAUUCAUACCCUGCAGGCUGUGAGAUUUGCUGCUUUUUCUUGCCAACAACCACCAUCAUUUUCCAAGCAUUCAUUCGUCUCCACAUCUGUGAAAAAAGUAACCGCCAUCACUGGUGUUUCAAAUAACAACUGGACAGUAAGUUGAAACACUACACUGGAUUUCUAAAAGCCUAGCUCUCGCCUAUGUUACUUAGUGUGAGAGUUGGAUAAGACAUAUGUCUGACAUGGACAUGUGCAAGUUGUUCUUCAUUUUCCCUGUAUUCAGAGUGUUUUUGGAGGGUCACAUCCCCAUACUCGUCUAUGAAAACGUGUCAGACACGGGUUCUCAAGAGAGGUAAAGAGUCAGCACCCCUAAGUGGAACCAGACUAAAAUACUUCUCUUGCAAGAAAAAUAAAACAAGACAAACUCACCACCACUCGAACAAACAGCUGGUUCAGUAGUCUCCUCGAAGCCGGCACAUAUGGCCUUCAAAACAGCACCUUUGGCCAGCUUUCCUGCAUGCAGAUAUGUUAAACGCGGAAAGCACCCAAAAUUUUAUCUGGGAAAUACGGGUAUAAAUACGAACCUCGAUAUUGGCGAUUGUUGACAACAAGUCUAGGCAAUAUGGUAACAUCUCCUCUAGAUCCUUUCCCCGCCUAUGAAAAUGUUUCUAUUAAAUAGCCUCAAAAAGGUCAAAGAAGACAACGAAUUGGAAAAAGAGUAGUGAAACAUAAAAUAUCUUAGCCUGAGAGGACUACUUGAGCAUCUUGUUCUUCUUCCAGAACAGGAUUCUCCAUAUCAGCAUCUGGAUCUCCCAAACACUUUUCGAUCUUUUUAGCGUCAAGCCCUGAAUGGAUGACAAAGGAAUAUCAUCAAUUUAUUACUAGUUUCCAGCAAGAUUUUGAGUUUUCACUGUGCUAUUAAUACUAACAGAAAUUUGAAGAUAAACCGAGGAUCUUCCAAUUAACUGUUUACCAAGAGAUUUGAUAACACCGUCUGCACAUUCCUUAUUAUAUCUUUUCUACUUCAUUGGCCAUCUUAUUUCAAAAUCAGUCACAUAGUCCCACCACACCCAAGGCCUAUUGGUCUCAUUUGCCACUUUGAAAACGCAAAGCUGCCUUAAGGUCUCAAUAACUACAUCUUUCCCUUCAUAACCUGAGCUAAAACCUUGUUCAGGAUCCGGUGCACAGUAUCUUCCGCGGUUGAUGCAUUGAGAUAUGCACUGCCGGCUUAGGGUGAAAGCUUGAGGGCAGUACCAAGUUAUAUAAUGGGGUGUGAACUGCGUAUAGCCACCUUUUUCGAGAAUCUUAGCAGCACCCUUGAAAUCCUUCACAAAUGCCAUCAGCAUAUCGCAUUUAACUCCACAUUCAUCAUUGCUCUUGGUCCAUAACUCGUACUCGUCACGAUCAUCAGGGUUAGAGUUUCACCAGAAGUUUUCUCGAUAAGGGCAGAUGAACUGUCCUCUUCGCGAUUGUCCCUGGUUAUUAAUGCUUCUUCUAUGUCAUCCGCAACAAGCACUGCAGAAGCACUGCUUGCCAUACAUUCCAAAUCUUUAAAGCAAAGAAGCAAUCUGGAGAAAUAAUAAGAAAAAAGGCGCUAAAUGCAGUCUCCGCAAAUAUAUAUAUAUAUCAAAAACUAAAGAAAAAUUACAUCUAAGACCAUAACUCAAUCAAGGACAAUAAGCAAAUUUUACAACCUUGGCAGCAACUGGAGUCCGUAUAUAGGCAACACUUCAGAUUUUUCUCAUCUCUUUAACAGUGUAAUCACAUUAUAGUAAUGUAACUGAAUUAUCUAAUCCGGAAGUAACUAUAAGCCAUUACUACCUAAUGCUUAGAUCAACCAGCAUUCUGAACCUCAUUUUUAUCACCAUACAUCUGUUUGAGAACCAACCAAACUCAAAUCGUACACUCUAAAUCUAUGUUCACUCGGACUCGGGUAUGAGUUUCAAAUGUAGGCACAUGUUUGAGACGGAUAUGUUAGUUUUGGUUUUUCAUGUAUCUGGAGGAUCUUUGAAAAGUCAUGUGUCGCCCAUAUGCAUGUUCGGAUAUUGAGUCUAGAACGGGUACUUCAGACGGAUAUCCAGAGGAUCAUUAACAGCAUAAUCGCGUUGCAGUAAUGUAACUGAAUUAUCUAAUCCGGAGGUAACUAUAAGCCAUUACUACGAAAUGCUUAGAUCACCAUUAUUUUGAAACUCGUUUUUAUUAUCAUCCAUCUGUUUAAGAACCAACCAAACUCAAAUCAUACACUCUAAAUCUCUGUUUACUCCGACUUGGGUAUGAGUUUCAAAUAAAGGUAUGUGUUUGACACUGAUAUAUUCAAUUUUUCUUCAUGUACCUAGGGGAUCUUUGAGAAGACAUAUCACCGCACACAUGUUCAGAUAUUGAGUCCAAAACCGGUACUUCAAGCAAAACUGAGACUCAGAGAAACUUAGCUCUAAACCACUUUAUCCAUACUGGAGAAAACUAUACGCCAUUACUACGAAAUUCUUAGAUAACCAGCAUUUUGAAAUUCAUUUUUAUUAUCAUACAUCUGCCUUGAGAACCAACCCAACCCAAAGCAUAUAUGUUCACUUGGACUCUGGGUGUGAGUUUCAAAUACAGGUAUGUGUUUGACACGGAUAUAUUCAAAUUUUUGUUCAUGUACCUAGAAGGAUCUUUGAAAAAUCAGAUCACCGUACACAUGUUCGGAUAUUGAGUCUAAAACUGGUACUUAAAGCAAAACCAAGAAUCUGAGAAACUUAGCUCUACUUUUGUAGACACCUCUAAGGCUACAUCCCUAUGAAAGGAGGGAAAUGAAGCUAAAUGAAUGGACCUAAUUUCAGAAAACAACUAGUAAGAUAAAAAGAGAGAAAGACAUCCGUCCAAACAACUUAAAGCAAAGCUGAAAACAAGUAAAUUAAUUCAUAAAUGAACGGAUAAAUAUAUAAAUAAUGAUAAUGAAAUCAAUGGAAACUGAUAAACCUAAAUUUAUUUAAAUGAAUUAGUUAAAAUAUAAUAACAUAAAUCCAAGUAGAUGGAAAAACCAAAUCUAUUAACCCUCAAAUCCCAAACUAUCAAAUAGAUUAUUGCCCCAUAAAUAAACCAAAUCCAACAAAUUGAACUUUAAACCUACUAUUUAAAUUCCCCAAUUUGGAAUUACUCAAAUUAGCUAAAACAACACAAAAAUUCCUCAUUGAUCAACCCUACAACAAACAAAUUAUAGCUCAAAUAAACAAAACCAUAGAUUAAUUUUUCUUAGAAGGCGAAAAUUUUGAAAAAAAGAAGAAGAAAAGUGUACCUCCACGAUCGACCAGAACAUAGGUAGGAAGAGAACCAGGCUUGGAUAUAACCGAAAUCCCAAAGUCAUCAAAACCUUUACAAGCUUUUCGGUUUUCUUCAGGGUAAACCACAACACCAGCCAUGCUUCCACCACAUUGAGGUAUCCCAAAGUUCCCAAUCGCACUAUCAUGGGUUGCUUUAAUCUUCUCCGGCGAUGUUACCGCCAAGCUCUUCUUUUCCACCACGAAUCUCGCGUAACAAUUGCGUAUCAAAGAUAAUAAAAUAAACACUUGAGGAAGAUGAUGAUGAUGGAAUGUUCGUAGCUCCAUAUCUUUACUUUUGGUUUUGGAUUUGGAUUGGAUCAGUUUUAAGGACGAUACUGAUGAAGAAGAUGAAGAUCGUGUAUGAAAAACAUGUAAAAUGAAAUGGUUUUUUUGAAAAAAAUAAAAACAGUGAAAAUCGCCAUUAAAUAAUUCUAUGAUUCUUUUAUUUGUUUUAAAUGAAUUUAGAACACAGUUAGUGAAAUUUUGACACGCUACUAAUAAAUAAUCUUAGUCAUUUAUAGAUUAAACAUUUUUCUUUUUUUUAAACAGUGCAAUGAGACCAAAUCCAGUCAUCUGAAGUAAACUUAAUGGGUUUAUGUUUUUCUUAGCCCCCAAAUUUUCACCUACCGUGUAAUUUAGUACAUGUUAAAAAAAUCCAAUUUAGUCAUUUGUAUUAUACGUGACGGUCUUCUACAUAUACGAAGUCGUUUAAGUUUCGUUCCGGUGAAGAUUUCAAUAUGCUUCGCAUGUUCCAAAGUCCUUUGGCCCAUUCUAGCCAGUAUCGGCCCGUAUCAAUUGGUACAAAAUUUUGAUAUUUAAACUUAUCUUUUAAUUUUUUAUCUUAAACAUUUUAACUUUUUAUAACUACGUUUAAAAUUAAAAUAAACUGAAGCUAUUGAACCAAUUAAUAGAUUUAAAACUUAUUUUUACAUAUAGAUAGAUGUCAUUGAAAUAUAUCAAGAAAAUUUUCGGUGCAUUUAGCACAUAAAAUCCUCCAAAAAUAAGGAAAACAGUUAAAUAAUAUAACAUGAAGGAUUCAACAAAAACAACAAAGGAACAUCACAUUAUUCUUGGAUAACGGCAAUAAUUGUAUCAUUACUGAUUAUCAUCAGUUCUUCAUGGCGCAUCUCUCUAUGCAGGUAUUGACGCAGCCGACAACUUCCUUUGAAGCUGACAAAAACAAAACAAAUCAUUAAGUUAAUAUACGUACUUACUUACCAUCAAAUAUUAAUAUAAAACGGAAAAAGAAAAAUUACCAGGCAUCCUCCCUUGGCUGCUUAGCAUUGAACAUGUCAUGGCAGCACACCCAACAGUGCAGAAUACGGAGCUGCUCGCGAGGUGGGUUUCCUCCAAUGUCUCCACCAGUGCUUCUGACGGCAGGCAGCGUUGAAUACAUUCCCCAAGGGAAGUUCCGUUGGCGACGCAAGUCGUUACGCAAAAAGUAUACCCAAGUCCAAUCGGGACAAGUGCUGUAACAGCUUGACGCGAGGGACUAACAAGGAUCAACAACAGCAAACAGAACAUCAACGCCAAUGAUUUCCCCCCCAUUAUGUAUAUAUUUGAUUUGAUUUGAUAAUGAUUUUUUUGCACUGCUUGAUAUCGGUGUUAUAUACACUUUGAUUGUCAUGCCAAACUACCAAACUGCCUAAUUAAGAUGCCAAACUAUAAUGCCAAAAUUUGAUUGAAUGCAAAAUUAAAAGAACAUUUCUAUAAGUAAUCAAAAUAAUUUGAAAUGAAUUUGUCAUGCCAAACUACAUGGAAAAUGUCUAAUGUCUUGUCCUUUUUUUAGAAUUCUUCCUAAUAAUCUAAAUUCUUCCUAACCAUCCCAAAUAUUCUGAUUGUCAAUGUUCUUUCUCAGAUGUCAUGAAUCACAAAUGAACACUAAACCUUUAACUUCAUAUUUUAAACAUUAACAUCGAAGUAAACACUUAAACCGUGCAAAUAAAAUCUUGAUUCUCAC